UGGGGAAUAUUGGACAAUGGGGGCAACCCUGAUCCAGCCAUGCCGCGUGAGUGAUGAAGGCCUUCGGGUUGUAAAGCUCUUUUGGCGGGGACGAUGAUGACGGUACCCGCAGAAUAAGCCCCGGCUAACUUCGUGCCAGCAGCCGCGGUAAGACGAAGGGGGCUAGCGUUGUUCGGAAUUACUGGGCGUAAAGCGAGUGUAGGCGGUUGCCGUAGUCAGGUGUGAAAGCCUUGAGCUCAACUCAAGAAAUGCACUUGAUACUGGGUGACUAGAGGACCGGAGAGGAUAGUGGAAUUCCCAGUGUAGUGGUGAAAUACGUAGAGAUUGGGAAGAACACCAGUGGCGAAGGCGGCUAUCUGGACGGUUACUGACGCUAAGACUCGAAAGCGUGGGGAGCAAACAGGAUUAGAUACCCUGGUAGUCCACGCCGUAAACGAUGGGUGCUAGACGUUGGCGAGCUUGCUCGUCAGUGUCGCAGCUAACGCGUUAAAUCGACCGCCUGGGGAGUACGGCCGCAA
Molecule: ribosomal RNA, 518 nt
Filed under: uncultured bacterium
Lineage: Bacteria
Description: partial 16S ribosomal RNA
Rfam family: Bacterial small subunit ribosomal RNA
Source: RNAcentral